Molecule: unclassified non-coding RNA, 251 nt
Filed under: Hevea brasiliensis (rubber tree)
Lineage: Eukaryota; Viridiplantae; Streptophyta; Magnoliopsida; Malpighiales; Euphorbiaceae
Source: RNAcentral
UAUCACAGGAAUCACAUCAGCUAUUACACUUUUACUUUUCACCAUUACAAAAAAAUUUUCACAGCAACAAAUCACAGAAAUCUCCUUUCCUAAACCAAUAAACACAGAGCAAACACACCUCAAGACACAAUUUUAAAGCAGUUCAGUGUAACAAAAGCCAGAAACAUACCUAACAAUAGGUGAACCAAGACAAAUCACCUCCACAAAGACACCCUAUGGCAAAACAACUAACAGGGAUGCAGUAUACACCC